UACGGGGGGGGCAAGCGUUGUUCGGAAUUACUGGGCGUAAAGGGCGCGUAGGCGGCCUGCUAAGUCGGAUGUGAAAUCCCUCGGCUCAACCGAGGAACUGCAUCCGAUACUGGCGGGCUUGAGUCCGGGAGAGGGAUGUGGAAUUCCAGGUGUAGCGGUGAAAUGCGUAGAUAUCUGGAGGAACACCGGUGGCGAAGGCGGCAUCCUGGACCGGUAUUGACGCUGAGGCGCGAAAGCGUGGGGAGCAAACAGG
Molecule: ribosomal RNA, 253 nt
Filed under: uncultured bacterium
Lineage: Bacteria
Description: partial 16S ribosomal RNA
Rfam family: Bacterial small subunit ribosomal RNA
Source: RNAcentral